AACGAACGCUGGCGGCAUGCCUAACACAUGCAAGUCGAACGAGACCUUCGGGUCUAGUGGCGCACGGGUGCGUAACGCGUGGGAACCUGCCCUUAGGUUCGGAAUAACUCCCCGAAAGGGGUGCUAAUACCGGAUAAUGUCUUCGGACCAAAGAUUUCUCGCCUUUGGAUGGGCCCGCGUUGGAUUAGCUAGUUGGUAGGGUAAAAGCCUACCAAGGCUACGAUCCAUAGCUGGUCUGAGAGGAUGAUCAGCCACACUGGGACUGAGACACGGCCCAGACUCCUACGGGAGGCAGCAGUGGGGAAUAUUGGACAAUGGGGGAAAGCCUGAUCCAGCAAUGCCGCGUGAGUGAUGAAGGCCGUAGGGUUGUAAAGCUCUUUUACCCGGGAUGAUAAUGACGGUACCGGGAGAAUAAGCACCGGCUAACUCCGUG
RNAcentral lists this ribosomal RNA (433 nucleotides) under uncultured bacterium. RNAcentral's name for it is "partial 16S ribosomal RNA". It matches the Rfam family "Bacterial small subunit ribosomal RNA", at positions 29 to 507 of the family's 1533-position model. The record is from RNAcentral.